Molecule: long non-coding RNA, 1711 nt
Organism: Eurytemora carolleeae
Lineage: Eukaryota; Metazoa; Arthropoda; Copepoda; Calanoida; Temoridae
Exons: 4
Source: RefSeq, a predicted model, not a curated record
AGAAAAUUUUUUCCGACUAAACUUAAAGGAUUAAAAUUAAAGGUCACAUUGUCCUGUCUAGGAGGGGAAAAAACGUGUUCUCUCCUCUAACUCUGAACAUCACAGAUCUGUUGAAAGUACCUAGCAUAUUCAUGGAUAAGGAUUGAAACAUCAAACUCUAGAUAAAUGAAAUAUUGGAACACAAGAAGGAAGCUUGCAGAUGUAUGUAGAGAACUUAUGUGUCCAGGAUGUAAGGAGAAUUCAUCCAAGCAAUGUAAACUUCCAGAUCACUUUCAAACUUGUCUUGCGUUGUGUAUUGGGAGAAUUUGCACUGAUCUUUCACAUUCUUAAACUAUGUAGAUUAACUCAUUUUUUGGCGAUCAUUAUUUCUGUCCUUUUUUAUUGAUUUAAGUUGUAUUAAGGUAUCUUUCAGAAGCAUGGAGCAAAGAUUUGGAAAAAGGAAAAUGUUAGAUGAAGAAAAAUGUGAAAAUAAGAGGAUUCAGAGUUUAAAGGAAGACUCGAACAUUGAGGAGAGUGAUUCAAGUGAAGAGGAAAAUGUCUCCAGUGGAGGGGAGAAGGAUGAAUACUCCACUGGAGAAGAGAAUAACUCUAGUGAAGAGGAGGAAAAGGUUUCCACUGAGGAGUCAAUGAAAGAGAAAGUAGACAAACAGAAAGCUGAUCUGGAGGAACAGAUGAAUGAUGAGAUAUCAAAGAAGGAGAAAUCUAAUAGAGAAAAUCAAGAUCUUGUAAAAAAGAUUUUUGAACUAGAGAAACAAAUAAAUAAUGAGAAAGAAAAAAAAUGAGGAAAGAUUUUUAGAACUAGAGAAACAGCUGAAUGAUGACAGAUCAAUGAAAGAAGCAUCACAGAAGGAGAAAUGUGAAGUUUUAAACUUUCUUGAAAUCCAGGUCACUUGUCCUGUUUGUCUCUUGAUCCCAAGAACCAAGAGGAUACCUAUCUGCAGAAACGGGCACACCACCUGUAAGACAUGUAAAAGGUUUGAAUGUAAAAUAUGUGGAAGUCAGUUUGCAGAUCGUAGUAAUGCAAGAAGACAUGCUAAAGCCAAACAUUUGGAUCAUCCCACUCCAUGUACUCUCUGUAGUAAACUACUGAAGAAUGAAUGAAGUCUGAAGAUGCACAUGAAGCAAUUAUCAUUCAGACUAAACUCACUUCCAGAUGUAGAUUGAAGAAAAGGAGCAAAAUGUCAAAAAAUGUUAUCUCUGAGAGCAAAAUAAUGAAUAGUCAGACAUGGUUGACCCGUGUGGACCGUGGUUCAACUACUUCUGUUCAACUUAAGUUGUUGCAAGAGAAGUGUUUGGGCAAAGUCUGUGUGGUUCAGCUACUUCUAUUUUGUUGAUAAUUAUCACAUUUCAUUCUGCAUUGAAAAUUAUUUUUUCCUCCUAUCUUUGUUUGAAACUGAUCACAGUCAUUACAGAGCUUGCAUCUUUAAGAUUAAACAAUAAAUUGAGAAAGCUUUUCUUGAAAAAAAUAUGUUUUCAUAUAUCGAUCACUGUUAUGAAUAUUUUUAGGGUAAGAUAAGAUUCUAGUAGAGUAAAGCGAUUUAAACAAAGAUUGGUUUAGUCAAAUAAAAAUUUGUAUCUUUUAAUGCCAUUUUUUAUAUAUGAAAUAACUGUUGAAAAUCGUUUGCGAAUCUAUUAUAGCACCCAGUGAAGUGCUUAAGUAACAUUUUAAGUUUUGAAUUUUUUUCUUCUUUUACGUAAAGUUAGUUUAAAA